RNAcentral lists this long non-coding RNA (1743 nucleotides) under Nicotiana benthamiana. Its description in RNAcentral is "long non-coding RNA (NBEN_LNC011586)". The record is from RNAcentral. Lineage: Eukaryota; Viridiplantae; Streptophyta; Magnoliopsida; Solanales; Solanaceae.
UUCUUUAACAUGUCUAGACACUACAAAACUGUAGGUCUGUUUUUGGGGCUUUUUGCUUUCUUUAACAAGUAGAUGGGUGUGUGUAUAUAUACUGUAUGCUUCCUUUACUUUCUAUAGUAUAGUUACAUCUGAAAGAUGUGUUACUUGUGUUGGAAUGCUUGAAGAUUUGUAUUAUACUCCUUUGAUCCAGUACAAUCAUGUCCUACAUAUGUUGCAGGUGUGUUAAAAAACAGAGUGAAAAAGAAAGUAACAUUAUUUUCUUAAAACAUUUCGGGCACAAUUUUCAUCUCUUUGUUUAUUCCCCUGUGGAGAGAAAAUGUCAAACCAAAACUUUUAUCAUUAGGAGCGAAUCCCACUGACAGAAACAAGGAAUAGCUAAUUGAAGUAAGAUGAUUACCCUACAAUUUCCCUCGACUUAACACAGGUUUUUUCUGACAUAAUGUUCUCAAUUUGCCUACGAACUUCAGAUUGAUUAUGAUAACCUCAUGCUUGAAUGUCUUUGCUUUGGGAAAUUCCAUGCUUGAUCCAUCUGUUCCUGGCUAGAUGGCUGUUAGCAAAUUUUACACUCGAUGGACUAGGUUUACUACUGAUUGAUGCUGAACAGUCUUCGCUUACACUUGAUCUCCAUUUGAAUUCCUGGCUUCCUUUCAAAUCAGAUGGGAGUUUAUUAUCUGUAUCAAUAUCAAAUUGUUUUAAAUGGAAAAUGAUUUUCUUAUCAUCUCAACCAAAUAUAAAUUGGGAUUUGUUCCUGUAUUUUUGUCGUUCAGGUUCCAGCUCUGCAGAGAUUUAUGCAAAAUAGACGCUCACAUUUUCAGCAGCAUCCUGACUUUCAUAUCACAUCCUCUACGAUUCUCGCAUCAACUGUGCACAUCACAAGAUUAAAUGCAAGGAGCCCUGCUCCAACUAAUGUUGAUAUGCCUCCUGGUCCUGGGCCUAGAAUUGAUCCAUCAGUGCCAUUGCACAUCACAAGAUUAAAUGCAAGGAGUCCUGCUCCAACUAAUGUUGAUAUGCCUCCUGGUCCUGGGCCUAGAAUUGAUCCAUCAGUGCCAAGAAAUGGUGCCGCUGAAUUUUCUGGAGUUCCAGAUCGACAAGGGAAUGGAAACCAAGAUGAGUUUGGUAAUCCUCUUCAACUUGGAGGGCAACCUGAUGCCCUCCAGUCUGAAACUGGAACUAACCCUGGUUCUAUGAACUCAUUCAGCAACUUGUUGCUGUGGAUAUUAGGGGGUGCUUCUUCUGAAGGUCUAAACUCCUUUCUCUCUAUAUUUCGAGAUGUACGAGACCAUGGUCAAGUUUUUGCAGGACCACCUAGACAAGAAACUCAUGCCACCCAAAAUGCUGAAUAGAUGGAAGCUGCAAUUUUGGGCAACCUAAGGUGUGUAGUGCACAAAAGAGUAUUGGAAAACUAUCCAUGAGAACGGUGAAAUGAGGAGACCACCUAGACAAGAAACUCAUGCUACCCAAAAUGCUGAAUAGAUGGAAGCUGCAAUGUUGGACAACCUAAUUGGUGGUGCACAAAAGAGUAUGGACUAUCCAUGAGAAUAGUGAAAUGAGGCUAAGAAAUGAGGAAAGUAGGCUUUCGUCAUCUGGGCAGAUUGUAGAGAAUUCGUUAGUUGAUGAGCCACUAAAGGGAAACUCUAUGGAAAUUAUGUAAAUUUAUUUCAUUGUCACCGAUCUUUUUCCUCUUGCAAAAUUGUGUCUAUAUUAGUGUGCAUCUUAUACAUGCUUGCGGUUUUAGCCAAAAAU